RNAcentral lists this non-coding RNA (726 nucleotides) under Nelumbo nucifera (sacred lotus). RNAcentral describes it as "Eukaryotic small subunit ribosomal RNA". It matches the Rfam family "Eukaryotic small subunit ribosomal RNA", at positions 1 to 605 of the family's 1831-position model. The record is from Rfam by way of RNAcentral. Lineage: Eukaryota; Viridiplantae; Streptophyta; Magnoliopsida; Proteales; Nelumbonaceae.
AUGGUUGAUUUUGUCAAUAGUUAUAUACAUGUUUUAAAGAUUAAGUGAUACAUGUGUAGUAAAUGUGAACUAUUUCAAACUGUGAAUUUGGAAAUGACUCAUUUAAUUAGUUAUAGUUUGUUUUAUGAUAUCUACUAUUUAGAUAACCAUAUUAAUUCUAGAGUUAAUAUAUACUUGCAUUAAACCUUGACUUCUAGAAGGGAUGCAUUCAUUAGAUAAAAGGUCAAUGUGGAUUUUGUCCAUUGUUAUGAUGGUUCAUGAUAAUUUUAUAGACUGCAUGGCCUUUGGUGUGAUGAUGCAUCAUUCAAAUUAUAGAGUUAUAUGCACUAAACCUUGACUUCUGGAAGGAUGCAUUUAUUAGAUAAAAGGUUGAUCUGGGAUUUGUCUGUUCUAUGGAUGAUUCAUUAUAACUUGAUGGGCUGCACGGCCUUUGUAUCGAUGAUGCAUCAUUCAAAUUUUCUGCCCUAUCAACUUUUGGUAGUUGAUAGUGGCCUAUUAAGGUGGUAAUUGGGUCAUAGAGAAUUAGGCUUCGAUUCCAAAGAAGAAAACUUGAAAAGUGACUCUCACAUUCUAAAAGGUAGCACUACACAAAUUACCCAUUAUGUAUCUUAACAUAGGGAGGUAAUGAAAAUAAAUAACAAGACUAUAAAUAUCAUAAAAAUAUAAUAAUUGAAAUAAAAACAAUCUAAAUCCAUUGGAAUACACCAUGCUAAUAUAGUGUAUUCU